This is a long non-coding RNA of Periophthalmus magnuspinnatus, 186 nucleotides long. RefSeq lists it as uncharacterized. Lineage: Eukaryota; Metazoa; Chordata; Actinopteri; Gobiiformes; Gobiidae. The transcript is spliced from 3 exons. The record is from RefSeq and is a predicted model, not a curated record.
AGUGACUGAGCGGACUGGCAAAAUGGGGGGCCACCCUAAACACGUCCUUAACGAAGACGCAGCAGGUUAGACUUAGAGAUUACAGCACCCUGGAAGUCAGAAAAAUGAAAUGUUGAAGUUUUCUGUUUCAGCUUGUUUGCAAUGCAGGCAUGUAGUUUGCACUAAUCCGGAGCGGCUGCCUGCAAC